RNAcentral lists this long non-coding RNA (13132 nucleotides) under Mytilus galloprovincialis (Mediterranean mussel). The record is from RNAcentral. Lineage: Eukaryota; Metazoa; Mollusca; Bivalvia; Mytilida; Mytilidae.
GUAAAAAACAUACAAAACGACAUUUCCUUGCUAUUAUUACUAUAAUGCACCUUUUAAUGAAUAGUGAAUCGAUAAAUCUGAUUGGACACCGGAUGUAUGAUGGGCGGGGCUUAGUGAUAUGCAUUGAUUUUGAUUGUAAAUACAGGUAGAACAUUCAAUAGAGGUAGUAUCAUGCAUCAAUACAGAGGACAACAAGCGAAGAUUUGAUGAAUACUGAGUUUAUUUAUUUUUCUACCGACAGUACAUCGAGUUAUACUUUUAAAGGGACCUAUGUGAUUUUAAAGUUGAAAGCCGUUCUAUAAACAAGUCAUUGUCGGUAUCAAAUUCUACUAGAAGAAAUGUGGGAGAAAAUCCUCGGAUUAAAAAGUAAAAAGGAUUAUCUAGUAUAUAAUAUGAUUAGAACUUUGGAUUAUCCGACUGUUGAUUAUUGACAAAGUGUUUUAUCUGAAAAGUAAAUAUAAUUUACAGAGAAAAUGAGAAUUGUCAGUCCGUACCUGUGAAACACAUAAGUGGCGAAACGAUAACAUGGUAUCAUCUGAGGAAGCGAUCAUGUAAUGUAACGAUGUCUUCCAAGUGUUUAUCAAUAUUACUAACUGUGUUAAUGAUAUCAAACUGUAACGGAGUACCUGUCAACUACGCUAUUGAUGAGGAGAAGGGAACAGAUUACUAUUUAGGAAGAAUUUCGGACGGCGCUAAACUGAGAAAUUUCACUGGAAUAUCAAGCGAUGCCGAAUUUGAAUCAUUAAGGUAUAAUUUACUUAGUAGUGGCAAUCCUGAUGCUCAGUUCUUCACAGUAAAUGAAAGAACAAGUGAUUUAUACACAACAAAGACAAUAGACCGAGACGAAUUAUGUAGAUAUUCAGAUACUUGUAUAUUACAGUUUGAGGUAGCUGCCGAUACCUCUGCUAGCGAUUUCUUUACAAAAAUUAACAUCAUCGUAAAUAUUCUUGACAUUAAUGACAAUGCGCCAUCUUUUCCGUCAGAAGUAGUGAAUCUGGCACUAUCGGAAGCCACAGUAUUAGGUACUUCCGCUUGGAAAGGAGGCGCUGAUGAUAGAGAUCAUGGAACAUUUUCAGUUCAGCAGUACCAAUUGUUACCCACCGACACGCCUUUUGCAAUUGAAACAGAAUUUUACGCAGACGGAAGAACCCAGGUAACUCUUAAAGUUAAUCAAAAUCUCGACAGAGAAAUAAACAAUUCAUUUACAUUGACAAUCACGGCAGUAGAUGGCGGUGUUCCGCCUCAAACAGGCUCAGUUACUAUAAAUGUUCAAAUAAACGAUAUUAAUGACAACGCACCAAAAUUCGCAAAAUCUAUUUAUAAUAUUACUAUCAACGAGGAUCUUCCCGUAAACACCGUUAUUCUCAAAGUACAUGCUAACGACCCGGAUGAAGGUUCAAAUGGCGAAGUUACAUACAAGUUGAGUACUUUGCAAUCAGCAGACAUUUUUAAAUUGUUCAAGAUUGACUUACAAACGGGUGAUAUACGUAUUACACAAUCAUUGACUCAGGAAGAAAGCAAACAGUUUAAAAUCAUCGUGGAAGCAACCGACAAGGCAUCAUCGCCAUUAACAUCGCAGACUCAGGUCAUAAUACACGUUCUUGAUACUCACAAUACAGCACCGGAAGUGACGGUUACUACGAUAUCGUCGAAAAUCAACGGUGAAUAUAUUGAAUAUUCCGAAAAUGCUAACAUUGGAAUUACCAUGGCAAUAGUUUUAGUUACUGAUCAUGAUAGUGGUUACAAUGGUGCUGUGACGUGUACUCUUAACGACGACCAUUUCUAUUUAAAAUCUGAAGGAGACAACGAAUACAAUAUAGUAUUAGGGAAUAGUUUGGAUCGAGAAAUCAAUGAAUGGCAUGAAAUUGUAACAACGUGCAGUGACGCUGGAUCGCCGAGACUUAGUUCGUCUGCCAGUUUUCGUCUGCACGUGCUUGAUGUUAAUGAUGUCCCACCGGUAUUUACACAAGUUUUGUAUAAGAUCAACGUUGAAGAAAAUGGACCCAAAAGUGUAAGUGUAGUUCAGGUUCAUGCAAACGACAAUGACGUCACAGCAGACCAGAACGUUCGGUACAGCUUAGAGCUUGCAGAGGAUUACAAAGAUAUAUUCAGUAUAGAUAGUACGAAUGGACUUAUUUACGUAGAGCAAUCUUUAGACCGGGAAACUUAUCCAACUAUUACUUUUAAAGUACUUGCUACGGAUAGUCAACCGCAACCUUUAACAGGAAGUGCUAUGGUGGAAGUAACUGUACUUGAUGCCAAUGACUAUGACCCGGUGUUUACGCCAUCGGAAUUCCAGUUUACGGUACCAGAAAAUCGUCCACCAGAUAUUUCUGUUGGUCGUGUUGUGGCUGUUGAUGCAGACAGUGGUAUAAACGCAGAACUACAAUACACUUUAUUGCCCAUGAGCAGUGAAGCCCCACCCUUCAGAGUACUGAUGAAUGGUACAAUAUUAACAACGAUAUAUUUUGACCGGGAAAUGACAGCCCAGUACACAUUUUCUGUAAUGGCAUCUGACAAAGGCUCGCCAUCACGUAGUAGCACAGCAACAGUAAUUGUCAACGUUCAGGAUGAAAAUGACAACCCUCCUAUAUUCAUUUUUCCAGGACAGGAAACAGAUGAAAUUAGAGUAUCGUAUCAGUCCUUACCCAAUACUGUCAUAGCAACGAUUCAAGCAUACGACCCCGAUAGCAGCUUUAAUUCUCAUAUUUCAUAUAUUAUGAAUGGAUCUAACAUUUUAGAAAAUUUCGAAUUAAAUACUCAUACUGGACAGUUUUCAGUGACAUCACAACUUGACCAGUCAGACAUUGGGACCUAUGAUCUCAUUUUAACUGCGGUAGACAACGGCGAACAAGAGCAUCAACGAAGUGUAAAAUUAGUUAUAAUUGAUAAAGCAACCGUGGCGGCCAGUCAAUCAGAAAGCGAGAUAAAAUAUUUUGCCAUUGCAGUUGCGAUAUCUUGUAUAACUAUUGUUUUAUCAGUUUUAAUUGUUUUGGCGAUUUGUUUGAUCAAGCGAAAAGAACGUCAACAUCAUGAAAAGAUAGCAGAGAGUGUAACAACUUGUUCGUCACUGGAGACGGACAGCGAAGGUUCCGAUAUUCGCUUCGGUGAUGUGUGUACCCGAGGCAUCCUGCACAAAUCAAGUACCAACUCCCUGAAGAGAAAUGACCAGUCCAGUAAACCUAAUCCUAUAAAGAAACCAUUCACAACAGUGGUGAGGAUUAACUUUUAUUUUUAUUUCAAGUUUAUAAUCUUUAUUAGAACUUACGUUUUUGUACGAGUUGUAACGUAUUUGUUGAUACAAUAAUAAUCCUAUGGAGUAAACUUGAUCAAAUUUAUUGUGGGCUAGGACUUAACAACUUGUCACUUUUUAUAAUUCAGAUAAAUAUUUUGAAAUGAAACAUAAAAUGUUUUGGGAAAAGAUUUAAGUUUUUGAAUAACAUGUUUUUAUAAUGAUUAAUAGACCCAACUUAUUGUCGUCUGAAAUUGAAAAAAAACUUCAUUUACAAUAAAAUUGAUAAUAAGCAGAUAAUACAUGUAUGAUUCAUUAUAAACUGAGUAAUAAAUAAAGGAUCAAUAAGUCAUUAAAUUUAGAAUCCGACUUAAAAAUUGAGGAUUUUCGGAAGACAAAAAAUUACCGAAUGAAUGUGGCGCUAUUUAUUGCAAUGAAUAAUGAAUGUAAUAAUCGAUUUUCGUUUAGAACAUCUAUUUAAUGUUUUUAAAGAUAAGUGAAGAAGCUCCGAGGUUUAUGACAUUUCAUGCACUAUGAAAUUUUAUUGAUUACGAAAGGUUGUGUUUCUGUCUGUUGCUAUCAUCACUGGUACUGAUUUUUUUUAAAUACAGAACGGGAAAAAAUAAAGGCAGAAACUCAAAUCUUUUUUUUUUAAUUUUGUACAAUUUUAGUUCAGUUAAUACAAGCUUCAGUAAAAAUUAUCUAGUCCUUUUUAUUAAAAUUCAAGCUAAAGAGGAAUAUAAUGAUGGAAAAAAAAUAUCUGACACAGCCAGAAAAUAAGAAGGAAAAGCUCUUAUUGAUUUCAACUCAAUAUCCAUGACUAAAUGUAGACACAAUUUAUCUCGAUUCUUAGUCGUUACUGCAGUAGAAAAGAAAGCUCAUAAUAAAAAUUAGAAGGGCGUCAGUGAUGGUUUUUAAAAAAGAAAUAAAAAAUACAAUUUAUAGUUUAAUAAAAAAUGCUAAGUGUAUAUUUUCAGGGUUGUUAAAUGAUUCAAACCCAUUUCUCAUAAUUAUUUAUUGAAAGGUUAUUGAAUAAAUUAGGACUGUAACAAGAGAAUAUGUAAUGGGAUAGGUAAAAUAUACCCUAAUUAUUGAAUUAAAUCUUGCCUUGUCAACUUCUGUCAAAAUUACUUGUAUUUUACAUAUAACAAAGUGUUCAAUCCCCCAAUUUCUGAUCAUUAUUAUGUAUAUUAAUUACAUAUUGUCGCCAUACAAAACAUUUUCUUGUUACAAGAUAACAGUUUGACAACUUGACAAAAUGAUUUUAGAUAAUUACAUUAUUUUGCCAAUUUCAACACAUUUUUACGAUAAACACAACCUAUACCUAUGGAUUUCCCAUGUUAUUAGUCCAACAAAAUGUUUCAUUAUAGUUCAUAUAAUUUUCUUUCAAAAUAUAACACUGGUGCAAAUAUUAUAGUAAUGCUUCCUGAAGCUUAAAAUAUUCUCAUGGUUAAAAUUAAAAUAUGUAAUCCCUGAUCUACAAACCAGUUACAAGUUCCAAAAUUUUCGCAUUCAGUCGUUGUUUCACAACGGUAUACAUAUACAUAUUAAUAAAAGGAUUUAAAACAAGAGACUGCCAAUACAUAACUUCCAAAUUAAAACAAAUGGCAACAAAAGUCAGUUUUACAAAACAAUAAGUCCAUUUGAACGAUUUCAAAUGAAAAGAAAUAGUACAUUAUGAGUCAUUCUAGAUGGUUGCAAACCAUCUGAUGUGAAUUGAUAAAGAUAUCAAAAUCUUUCAUCUUUCAUCAUUCAUUAUCAUUAUGCCACACUUUCCUUAGCACCUUUAUGGCUUUACCCAUAUAUAUUGUAAACGCGGUCUGCUGUUGGCCAUUCACGAGCCAAGAUUCACGUUAUGUGGUCUUUUCUGAUUAUCCUACCUGUUCAGAAAAACCUAUGCAUCUUUAAAAUUCUAGUAGAAAAGAACAGACCAAAUACAUUAAUGACAUUUUCAUUUUGACUAUGAAGAAUUUUAAAUCCACUUAGCAUAUGCAACUUUUAGGUUUUGAAUAUUGUUGAGUAGAAAGUCUUAGUAUUCCACCAUUUUAACAGAAUAUAUUACAAUUAAAUAACAUUUUUAGGUAUCUGUUGAUGAAGUAAUACCGGAAGUUAUAUCAGAUUCUGUUGAAAUCUGGGACUGGGCAGAUAGUGAAUACAGCAGGAACACAGGACAGUCGUUACCACGUGACCUAGAACCCUUUUCCACAUUUUCCAGUACAACAAAACAGAAGAAUAAAGUUCAUUGGCAGGCUAGUCAGUGCUAAGGUAUGUAUAAUAUAUAAAAUAAGUCAAGGACGAGAAAAUUCUUCUGUCAAAAGUGUCCUAUUAACCAAAGUCUUUUGUUUAAUACGAAAGUCAAUGAAAUAUAAAAUUUAAUCACACUUUGUACUCGAAGUCCAUAUAUGCAUGUACAGGGAGACAUGAUACACUAUCUGGAUACAUUAUUCUAACUCAUGGCAAGUCUUUCCUCUGAUACCUUAAUUGCUAAGCACAGAAGCAGCAACCACCAAUUUUAAAGUCGCGCUUUGGUUUGAGUCGACAGUUUUAGAAACCCCGAACUUCCGCUAUAGAAACAAACGAGACCACGAAACUACGGAGGUGCAUGGUGAAUUUUCCGUUUCUUACUAUAUUUUUAGGAAGAAAAUAUCAAUUAUUACCAAUGUAAAGAAAUGUUAAGAAAAUAAGAAAAAAUAUUUGGCGCUGUAAUUCUCAACCGUGGACAGAUGCUAAUUUUUAACAAAAGUUCGUGUUGUGCCUACUUUAUUUUAUUAUUUAACGAUCUAUAUUUGAACAGUUUAAUGUUUGAACAAUUCAUCCGUUUAAAAACUUUACAAAAAGGUGAUAGUCGAUAACUAUACAAAAAAAAUGAAGUAGCAAAAAACCUAAAAGCGCAAACAAUAUACCCAUUACUGUUAUAAACAGGUAUAUCUUGAAACACAAUACGAAAUAGGAUUUGCUACCUCUAUGAAUAAAAUGUCUCCGGUUUUUCAGUUUACUUUGAAGUUCCUUAACUAUUAUGGUAUAAAGAGAAAUUCUGUUGAUAAAUACAUCGACAAACAAACCCGGUAUUAAGCGGCCAUUAGGCGCAUUGAUUUCUACUCUAAUGGCCACUGUUCCAGGAUUUGUUGCAGGGAUUUGUCUAUUGACGAGAAAGGAUGAGAUUUGUUUACAUUACCAUUCAGAUAUUUAUGUUACAGUGUUAGUAUUUACUCACAUUCAGUCUAUGCAAUCAGUUUUCAAGAUCGAUUUUAAAAUUCAUAUAAAUAAAUGCAUAAUGCAAAUGAAUCGUGAUAUAUAUCAGGGAUUAUAUAAAACAAGCCUAUAUGUCACAGGCACUUGUCUCAGAAUGUUUUUUUUUCUGAUGUUAUACCUUAAUGUGUGAUAUUAAGGUAUAAGGGAAAUUUUUGUCUGAGACAAUUACCUGUGCUAUAUGUGCAUAGCGUAUAUAUACUGAUUGUUUUUUGCAGAACAAUAUUAAUUUUAAACGAUUUAGAUAGGAAUAAAAUAAAAAUGUAUCAAUAUUUAAAAGGAUAAAUAAAAAGCACAGGGACUCGGUUAGCAGAUUAAAAUUUUGUAAAUCAAUGUUUUUAAUUUAUUUUUUAUUAUUUCCUGUCUAUUUGCAUUACUAUAUUAACGUAUUUAAAGUUGCCAUCACUAUUUCUUUGUUUUCUGGCAAUGUGCAGUUUACUAUCCAUAUCCAUAUACUGAAAAAACCUAAAGGGAUCUAAGUCGCCAUCUUGAAUUGCCUUCCCUACUUUAGAUAAAAAAUAAUUAAAAAUAUGAAUAAAUUACUAUAUACCUUACAACAGCCCUCAUUUUCUUCCGAAAUGAUUCUUCUAUAACAUGCAUAUUAUGAUUUGUGGAUUAACAGAACCCUUACGAAGUUUCAGUUGCAUUCGUGUCAGAAUAUUCAAAUUUCCCGGCGAAAGCAACGUAUCAUUCGGAAACUUCCGGGUUGAUGCGUUUACCACAACGCUAAAUCCUUAUAAACAGACGAGUGCUGUCCCUUGAUUUAUUAUUACAUAUCGAGCGCAAAGUUAACGAAUAGAACCUUUCUCCAAACGGGGUAACAUAAAUCAUUGACUUUUUCGAAGACACAUCAAAAAAAAAAAGAAGUUACUAAAAAAAUUGACACGUUCAAUGGGAUUUAUAAGGUUUACUAACAGUACCAGGAUAUAAAAAAGGGGGAGGGCCGGUUGGUAGGUCAACUUGGAGUAAUACUUGAAAAAGUAUAUUAACUUAUCAUACAUGCAUGUAUGAAGUUCAAUCGGAAGGCCCCUUUUCCAUAUACAUACAUACUCCUCUGAUUAUAUAAGUGUAACUUGUUGUACUGCAUAAAUCCAUGAUUUGAAAAAUAUCAGGAUGUCAGAAAUACAACCCGAUAGUUUGGGACAAUCAUUUGAUAUUUUCAAUGGGCGGAAGGAUAGGAGGAUAAUCUGAUAUUGAAACAAUACAUGCACUAGCUGUUCAAAGACAUUUUUGUUUGAUAUUUAAUUAAUAUGAAGGAUAUCUUGGUGUGGCGUAGGUAUGAAGUUAGGGGACAGCACUCGUCUGUUUAUAAGGAUUUAUCGUUGUGGUAAACGCAUCAACUCGGAAGUUUCCGAAUGAUACGUUGCUUUCGCCGGGAAAUUUGAAUAUUCUGACACGAAUGCAACUGAAACUUCGUAAGGGUUCUGUUAAUCCACAAAUCAUAAUAUGCAUGUUAUAGAAGAAUCAUUUCGGAAGAAAAUGAGGGCUGUUGUAAGGUAUAUAGUAAUUUAUUCAUAUUUUUAAUUAUUUUUUAUCAAAAGUAGGGAAGGCAAUUCAAGAUGGCGACUUAGAUCCCUUUAGGUUUUUUCAGUAUAUGGAUAUGGAUAGUAAACUGCACAUUGCCAGAAAACAAAGAAAUAGUGAUGGCAACUUUAAAUACGUUAAUAUAGUAAUGCAAAUAGACAGGAAAUAAUAAAAAAAUAAAUUAAAAACAUUGAUUUACAAAAUUUUAAUCUGCUAACCGAGUCCCUGUGAUAGUAAAAGAACUACAAGGAAAAUUCAAAAGGGAAAGAUAUUUAUCGAAUGGCAAAAUCAAAAGCUCAAACACAUCAAACGAAUGAAAUACGGGGUUACUUCCUAUUAUUGAGUAUACGGGGAUGUGCCAAAAAUAUGGGUCAUAAUUUUGCGAGAUUUUAUGUAAAAAUGACCCUCCUUUUUAAUGACAUCCUAUAUUAAAAUGCAUUUACGUUUGAUAAUUGUAUAUUGAUUUGGGGUAUGAUCUACAUAUAAUCCAACAAUCCAUGCGUAUAUAUAACGAUAAAAUAUAUGUGCACCAAACGAUGUCAAUUCAUCUAUAAAAACUUAAGGGUAGCUGGUAUAUUUAUGAAUUAUGAGUGAUGAUGAGUAAGUGCUUAUAUAAGCAUGGGUCAUAUUUUAAAUAUUGUAUAUAAGAGUAGGUCAUUCUUUCUUAAAUAUUUAUAUAACUAUAGGUACUGAAUUUCAGUGAAUGUUAUAUGAAAAUGGGUACGUUUUUUGAGGCAAAAAUGACACACCCCUACCAAAAAAAUAUCGAAGUUACACCCCCCCCCAACUGUCAUAUUCCUGACUAGUCCCAAAUAUAGAUGUGAGUUGAACGCCACCGAGUCAAAACCCAUUUUUUGCAUGUUAUAUUUUUGUUAACUAAACGAUUUUAAUUGACGAAUGUCUAUGUGGCACUGCAAGCAGUUAGAACCAUCACAUCACCUAAAACAUAUCAUCUGAUAGAUGUAGCUGUACAUCACAAUUGCGUUUUGGCUAAUUUCCGCAAUGAGCUGCGACGUAGUUUUAUCUUUGUAACGCCCAAUCUAAACUCAUUUUUUUAAAAACACAGAGCAAAAGCAAAAAUACUAGUUCGGUUUUGAGCAAUUACAUUUCUGUUUUGAUCUGCUUUCUUACGGAAGAAUGGAUGAUUGUUUAACAAUUCUUUCUCCUUGGAUUUUUUGUUGUUGUGUCGGUUGGAAAAUAUAUUAUUGAUAUACUUUUGUCAGUUAUGUAACUAUGUUGUCUGGUCUUUUGAUCUUGUUUUACAAACUGUUAUCAAGUUUGUUUGUUUUCUAUAGUCACACUAACGAACAAAAUGAAAACGAGGCAAUUAAUGAGAAACAUAGCAAUAAGAUGUACCGUUGUAACACAAUUAAUUCAUUAGUUUGAAUAGAUAUUGCAUCAUCGUUAUCAAGUUAUUUGAUAAAAUAUAAUAAUAUAAUAAAGUUUACCACAAGUAUAUUCUAGAACACCUGUGAAAUAACAAUAGUGAUUUUCUGUCAUUCAUUAACUUGUUGUAAAUCUUGUUAUUUUUAUUUGUUUGUUAUAAAUCUAUACACUAUUUGAUUAUUGAACUAAAAAACACGGGUUUUUGUCCUUGAGAGUCAUUGUUCAUUUGGGCUUUUAGUAAAUGUUAUCAUAACCUCCUAGAAAUCUAUAUAAAAUCAAUUAGCACACACAAAAAAUGUAUGCUGCUCGAUACAAUGUGAAGCAGAUUAAUGUGAAACAGAUUAUAAAACUCGUUCCCUACGCUCAGCCGAUAUGUACCAGUAUCAAUAUGACAAAAAGCUGAUGAUAGGUAAACUUAUAGGUCAUUUUCGAUUAGAAGGAGUUGUUUUCAUGACGAGUUUUAGCCUCCUGUAUCAUAAUCUGUUAUAUGAUACUAUCCUUUUUUAGCAUCAAAUUCAACUACGACUUCUUAAAACUUUUCGAUGACUGUACGUAUUCCCAUGGAGAUAUUUGAAAAAAAUGGGUUUAUCUUUUUUCCCUCUUUAAUUUUGCAUCUUCGAUUGGAAAUGUAUAUAUAUUUGCCUCCCCUGAACAGAUUUCCUCAUAUAUACACACAGAAACACACAGAACCUUUAGAAGACGUAUCACUUAAUAUUAUAUAAAAUAAUUUCUACAGAUUGUCCGAUAUCAAACUUUAUUUGUUUCUAAACUGCCGAACAUUUGGCAUUUUGAUAAGCGAACCAAUUUUGUGAUUUUAUGCUUUAUAAAUUGAGUAUCGACCGUCGUAUUUAUGGAAACUUGAUGAUAGUAAAGAUCCUGAGACACAAGUUUUACUACAAUAUGUCUAAUGAUUUUAACACUGGGAGUUGGAUAAACAGGAACGACCAGAAAUAGCAACCAUUCACUUUUCGCAUGAAAAGAAAAUUUUAAUGGCAUGGGUUGAAUUGAUAAUAACGAUGUUUCAUAGUCAAAUCGAUCUUAACGAGGUUUUAUUUUAUAUUAAUGAUGGAUAAAUUUAUAGAAAAUGCACCGAUCCUCAUCAUCUACAAAAUAAUGUUUCUUUUUUAUCCAUUUAUGAACGGUGUUUUAUCAUUGUGUUUGAUCUUUAACUUUAUCCCAAAAGUUAUUAAUUGGCAUAAAGAUGAAGAUUUAAUAUUGAUAAAUAUAAAAAAUACUUUGACCGACGCCAGACCUCUUUAACGAUAGUAGACUGUAGGGUCACUAUAGAUAUGAAAGAAAAUUUAUUUUUAUUUUAAGGAAUUGUACUUCGAAUAGAAUAAGACAAAAUUCUCCAUUUUUUGUUAUACAAAUAAUAUAUCGGAUUUUUAUUCAGGUUUACGAAGGACUUUGUAAUUAAUAAUCAAAUAAUUUUUCAUGAUGUAUUUAUAUUAGGGAUAUACUUGUGUAGUUUAUUUUCUUAACAAAUAUGGGGAAAACAUUGACCAAUCCCAAUUUGACGCCAAUAUUCAAAUUAAAAUCUCGAAGGACAGUAAUUUUUCAUUUUGAAGUUUAUUGACGCUAAACGUCAAAAGUUAAUUCUGUAAAAUUUGGUUUUGAAUGUCUACAGAAUUAAUAUUGCCUUGAUCUUAGAGGCUCUGUUUGAACCUUAUCGACACGCUAUCUUAAUGAAAGUGACUUUUUCAAGUCUUUACUAAAUUUUCCUUUUAUGUUUAUCAAGGCGAACGAACGUAAUUACACAUUUUGACAAUAUCACUUUUAAAUUUUACACAAAUCAAUACAAACAUAUUUCAUAUUUAGUUUUUCAUUUAAUUCUAUUUCAGGUGAUGAAUAAGAAGAUAAAAGAUGACUUUUGAUAGACCUAUAUUUUUGUAUAUGAUAUACCAGGUUUUUUUUCUGUAUUUUCUUCGUCAUUGAACUUUAUUUAUCAAUAAUAACUUUAUAAUGAUAACAUCAUCUUUACUGACGUAUGGUGGAAUAAUCACAUGUAAAGAAGAACUACGACAAUCCACUCUACAUGAGACUAGCGAGACCAGCGAGAUUCACAACAAUUCAAAGUAUCUGCCAAAAUCAUUUUCAUAGAUAACAUCUAUGCAACUAUGAAAGAUUGCUUAUGGUAUGUUUAUAUGACUUUUGUAUUUAAUGCACUAAUAACACACAAACAGCGUUCUGUCUCCAUGAAAUAUUUCCAUUGGACACUAAUAAUCAAUCAAUAUAGACAAUAUACGAAACACGUGAAAUACACCCUUUUAAUACAAAUUGACUCACGGAAGUAUGUUGCAUAUAAACUAAAUCGGUUAUAUAUUAGAAUUAUAACUUCCAGCAAAGAUUUUUUUUUACUGUGACCUGUUUAAUUCUAAGUACUCCUGUAAACUCGAGCGAUACUGAAAACAUAUAUUGUUGAAAUUUGCAUCUGGUGCAGAAAAACUGGUACCAAUAGUGUUUUAACUGUAGCCAAUCUUUUGGUGAAAUUUAUUUUUUGCUUCUGUUUACUUCAUAUAUUCAUAUAAUUAUAAUACUAAUAAAGUAUUGUUUAUUAAUAUAGGAGCAGCUGGCAGCCACUUUACAAUGCCGUAUACAGAUAAACAGACAAAUUCCGGUAAGCUAUUAUAUUCUUCUUGCUUCGACUUCCUAUAAGCAUAUUUAAAGGCAUCUUCGUUAUACUUCAAAUAUCAAAAUACGUACAUACUAAUCGAAAUAAGUCUCUGAAAACUAAGGAAAAUGCUCUACAACACGCACGACAAAACAUCUGAAUCAUUCCAUGUCAUUAUAACAUUGAAAGGAUGGGUAUUAAAUUCACAAAUAAUCGAUGAAACUGAUCUAAUCAAUGUUGGUUUUAAGAAAUAGACAGUAAAGUUAUUAUUUUAUGGUUAAGUUUAGUAAAUUAUACAUAAUUUAAAAUCCGACACAUGUGUAUUGCUAUAAUGGACUGUAUCAUCCCAGAAGUCGUUUUGAUUUUUCGCUUGUCUGAUUCUAUUUAUCAAGAAAUGAAUCAAGAGACCAGAUUGUCUUAGACGUUCAUCGCUACACGUGACAUCAAAGGGACAUAUUAGUUGGUGAUGCAUAAUCAUGUGUUUGACAAAGUAUAUUAUAAGGCGUGGUAAUACACAUCUGUUCAAUGCUAAAAGUAAUGCUUUCAUAUAAUGAAAAUGGCAGAUAACACUAGUAUGAUAUUGUCUAUUAUAGUAAAUGUUCGAAUAAAUCACGAGUUAAUAGUCCCCGAGAAGAAAUGUAAAAAAAUAAACGAAAAUCACUGAAAGUGUCUUAGCACUGGAUUGAGGUGUUUUUAUUCUUAGUAGAUGUGUAGAUAUCAUGGAUAAACUAUACAACUGAGAGUUCAGAGCAUAUUAAGAAGAUUUGUAAUGUUCGGUAGCGCUUUUAAAACUCCCUCGUUCGAAUUGCAAAAACAUGAGUAAGCUAGGUCGAGCGUGUGAAAAAACGACGAGACGUAAGGGUCUCUUGAAUCGUCUCUUUUUUGUCAUCUUGCAUUUGACAUUUAUAUAUACAUUAUAUGUGUCAUACAAAAUGCUAUACAACUGCAUACUGUUUAGAAACAUCAAACAACAUCAACAUAAAAAAACAUAAACAUACUUAUAUGCAAUGCAUCUGAGAUUUUUCCGAUUAUAAUGAUAAAUCAAUAUCCCCAUUAAGCACCUUAAUUGUUUCCUGGCUAAUUAAACACAUGUAGUGGGUAUUAAAUUUAAAUAGUAAGAGAAAAUACAG